CGCAGCCUUGAACUCCUAGGCUCAAGCCAUCCUCCUGCUUCAGCCUCCCAAGUACUGGGACUACAAGCAGCCUCGCUAAUUCUUAAAUUCUUUGUAGAGAGGGGGUUCUCGCUAUCUUGCCCAGGAUGGAAAUGAUCCUCAUACCUCGGCCUCCCAAAGUGCUGAGAUUACAGGGCCACGUAUAUAUCACCGGUGUUGGACCUUUGAGGAUUGCACGUUUGACCGCAUCUCAGCACUCUUAGGGGAACCUAAGCUACACUACUACUGCUGCAAUACGCACCUGUGUAACCACGAGCAAGAUCAAAACCAUGGGACCACCUUAUCAGGGAAAACAGUUUUUCUGCUUGUGACCCCGUUUCUUGCAACAGCCUGGAACUUUUAUGUCUAAAUCAAGCCCAGGAGAGAUUGUAAACUACCCCCUCCACCACCACCCGCUUAUUCCCCAUUUCCUGGCUGCUGCAAACAUAACAAAGGCUUUAUAUUUUCCAAUGAGAUCCUCUUGGGAAGCAAUAAAAUUAGCUCAAGCAUUUUGGAUCAGAGAGAGAGGGACUCAGAGACUUUGAAGACCAGUCCUGUUUGCAGGGAAGCUCCACUUGAGGGAGAAGUUUAAGAGUGAAGCAGGUGUGACUUGCACUAGGUUACCUGCUUUCUUCCUCUGCUCUCUGGAGGACCAGCUUUGCAGUGACAGCUUGUUAGGUUCUCCAAGACCCUCAGGUGUUUCCCCUCUGGUUCCCUGGAUGUGUUAAAUAGUAUGAUUCGCAUUUGGGAGGGGUGGUGCCAGGGGAUUCUUUUCAACAGUUCUCUCUCACAUGGAGCCUUUCUUCAGCUUUAUGGCUCCUGUGUUACUAUGGCAGCACAACAGAUGUUCCAGAUGUGGGCUGUCAGGAGCAACAAGAUCAGAGCUAGAAGACAUCUGGCAGGGAAGGCAGAAGCAUCCUAGAGGGCAGGGCAUGAAAACGCAAAGUCUAUCGUUAGACAGCUACCAGUAGCUGAAAUUUGAGUUUUCUUGUCCCUAAAUUUUGUAUGGGCUUUGCUGUCUGUCUUUCACUGGAAAAAUUUAAUAGCAUAAAUUAAUGGUAUGUUAAAGCUA
Lemur catta (Ring-tailed lemur) is the source of this 1090-nucleotide long non-coding RNA. RefSeq lists it as uncharacterized. The record is from RefSeq and is a predicted model, not a curated record. The transcript is spliced from 2 exons. Lineage: Eukaryota; Metazoa; Chordata; Mammalia; Primates; Lemuridae.